Molecule: non-coding RNA, 121 nt
Filed under: Pan paniscus (pygmy chimpanzee)
Lineage: Eukaryota; Metazoa; Chordata; Mammalia; Primates; Hominidae
Description: U4atac minor spliceosomal RNA (ENSPPAG00000007815.1)
Rfam family: U4atac minor spliceosomal RNA
About the family: U4atac is an essential component of the minor U12-type spliceosome complex which is required for removal of the rarer class of eukaryotic introns (AT-AC, U12-type). These interacting stem loops have been shown to be required for in vivo splicing.
Source: Rfam by way of RNAcentral
ACCAUUCUUUUCUUGGGUUUGUGCUACUGUCCAAUGAGCACAUAGUGAGGGCAAUACUGCUAACACAUACCAAAAAAAAGAGCAAAAAUAAACAUAAAAAACAGAAGUAAUUUCCAGAGAC